RNAcentral lists this ribosomal RNA (301 nucleotides) under uncultured bacterium. RNAcentral describes it as "partial 16S ribosomal RNA". It matches the Rfam family "Bacterial small subunit ribosomal RNA", at positions 509 to 807 of the family's 1533-position model. The record is from RNAcentral.
CAGCAGCCGCGGUAAUACGAGGGGGGCAAGCGUUGUUCGGAAUUAUUGGGCGUAAAGGGUGCGUAGGCGGUUUGGCAAGUUUGGUGUGAAAUCUUCGGGCUCAACUCGAAGUCUGCAUCGAAAACUGCCGGGCUUGAGUAUGGGAGAGGUGAGUGGAAUUUCCGGUGUAGCGGUGAAAUGCGUAGAUAUCGGAAGGAACACCUGUGGCGAAAGCGGCUCACUGGACCAUAACUGACGCUGAUGCACGAAAGCUAGGGGAGCAAACAGGAUUAGAUACCCGAGUAGUCCCUGUCUCUUAUAC